CUAGCAAAGCCUGAAAGUUCUGAUAUUACAGUAAUAAGUGUGAAGUGAAUUUUGAGUGGCAUUUAUAUCUGUUCAUGGGCUCUAAAUGUUUGAUUUGCAUAACUAGUUAAAAUGAUAUCAGAGCAGCAUAUUGAUUUAAUUCCAUCUCAGAAAACUGUUAAUUAAUAAUGAUAAUAAAUGUGUCAGUCCUUUAUUAUCUGCUUUGAAUUGGUGAUGAUAGCUAUAUUAAUACCACUUCAGUAAUAGACCUCUGCUGGCUAUUGUUGGCAAAGCUUUCAAGGCCCGAAUCACCUGCAAUCAGAAUUGAGAAAAUUUAUUGCAGAUCAGUUCUAAAAGGAACAGCCAUUCCAUCAUAUAUGUAAUUUUAUUAAUACCUACAUUUUAAUUUAACAUUUUAUUUACAUAAAUCAUUGUGAUCAGAAACUUCAGGAGGGCUUUAAACAAAGGCACUUUUUCAUUUUUACGUCCCAAGUUAAAAGUUGCUUAACGGAAGGACUGUGCUCAGGAUGAUCCCAUUUGGUGGGGUUGGCAGACUGGUGGCCCCUCCUGCUGCGUUUUCCUCCUGGCUGGGCUGGCCACAGUCUCACUUGCAUCGUUAAGGUGAAUCUGCCAUUUCUCCUACAGUGCACAACGGUUUGUGUGUGUGUGAAUGGUGGGAUGGCUGAGGCUAGGGCGGGGAGAGCAUCUUUUUCCUCCCUGUUCUCUCAAGGACUGCCAUAGUUUCAGAUGUAGGUCUCCCCCCUCUGGUUUUUGGCAGAGGUGUGAAUACCAAUACCAAGACGGCUUCUGCAUCUUUGGAUUUCUAGAAAGCAAGGGUAAACAUGGAUAGUCAUGUUGCAGUGGCUAGGCAUUUCUGCAAGCUGAGAGUGCCAGGGCCCAAUAACUCUAGGUUUCCAGAAAGCAUGUCAGAGGCCCAAGAGGAAAUCUCCCAUGAGGCUCUCAGUGGCUUAAUCUCCAGCACAUCCAAUAACCAUGACUGUUGAUAAAUGUAUCUUGGCAAUUUUGUAAUCUCUCUCUGAGCCUUGGUUUCUGCCUUUUUUUUGUCUUUUUUAGGGCUGCACCUGUGGCGUAUGGAGGCUCCCAGGCUAGGGGUCUAAUCGGAGCUAUUGCUGCCAGCCUACGCCAGAGCCACAGCAACUUGGGAUCUGAGCCGCAUCUGCAACCUACACCACAGUUCACAGCAACGCUGAUCCCUAACCCACUGAGCGAGGCCAGGGAUCGAACCCGCAACCUCAUGGUUCCUAGUUGGAUUCAUUUCUGCUGCACCACUACGGGAACUCCAGCCUUGGUUUCUUAAUAUAUAUACUCAUGUAUAUCUAUCUGUGUGUGUGUGUCUGUCCUGUCUAUAUUUCCUAGUGCUUGGCAUCUGGAAAAUGCUUGAUGAUUUGCAUUCCUUCUCUUUAUUUUCCUUUUAAGCUAGGAGCCCACACUUACCACUCCUUGUCCAUCUGCAGGCUGAACAAAGACCUGAGCAGCCUCCAUCCUCAGAAUCAGCAGUUUUAGUAACUACUGGGUCUACAUCAAGGAGCCUGGGGAACUUGCUUUUUCCCCAUUAGAAAUUUGCCCCUAGGCCAAUGGUCUGUUGCCUUGCAUGUCUCCCAGACAUGCAUGUUUGGUUGGUAUCUGUGGAUGUAAGUGAUGGUUGCUUUGAAAUGGGCAUAAGAUGUCCUUUCUUCUUUCUUGAACUUGAUUUUGCCUUUUGCUCUUCCAUCUGACUUUUUCAUAGGGAACACAUUUCUAGCCACGAGACCAUCUUUCUGCAGAAUCUUCUCACAGGUUGUAACUGAACUGUUGUCCAGAGAGAUUGCAACUUGCCCAAGACCUCAGAGCCUCUCGCUCUAAGUCACGUGUUCCUUCUACACCACCUACCAGUGCUUUCCGGUAGCUCCUGGAAACUCGUGCCGCCUGGAAAAAGAACCCCAGUUCUAUCUAUUGGGCGCCCAUCUGUUUCAGUUGCUGCUCAUUACUCCCUUUCCAGGUUCCACCAGGCAGUGAGCCUGGCAACAACCCCUCCCUCCCACUCGCACAUAUGCCAGUGGGUCUUGGCCUUCAGAAUGGCUUCCUAAGUCUCCUUUGGGACUCUCCUGUCACCAGACUUUCCCACUCACGAUGAGGGGCGGGGGGUGGUGGUGGUGGAACAAGCCCUUUGUUUGAGCCUGCCAUAGAUUAGUCCGGCUUGGAAGGAGCGCUGGCUUUCCCAACUCCUGUGGGUGUGUCUCCAGCUGAAUGUUCCUCUCCUGACUUUGAUUUCUCUCUCAGCGAGUGGGGGUGUAAUUCGCCUUGACAUCGCUGGCCAUCAGCGCCACACUGAAGUGGGCCUUCUUUGACUCGAAGUGACAGCCCUUGGCCCCUGUGACAUUGUUUCCAUAGAUUUGCAGUGAAACAGUUUUAUAUUUUGCAAAAUAGAGUGCUCUCCUAUGACUGGCAUUGAUGGGGUUUUUGCCAUGGUUUUCUGGGGGGGCGAUAACCGUGUCCACUGACCCACCCUCAACUGAUUCCCCUUAUUCUGGCAUCUGGACACAUUGCUCUUACUUAGGUUGCCUGGAUGAUGACUUUGUUUGGUUUUUUUAAAACCAUCACGUGCUCUGACCAUUUAUAGACCCUUUCCUGUUAUUCUAUUGGCCCCCAGUGUUCUAAGACCUUGGCUGCCCAUUAGGAACCUUUCCAUUUUGGCUGUUCGACAAUCACAGAAGUCAUCAGUCACCUGGGAGAAGAGGAAGCUUGAAUACUCUCUCCUGAAAGUUUUUACUCUGGUGUAUUUUACCCUCAGUGACAGCUUGAGAUAUAGUCAGAGGGGCUAUCAAUGUCAGACCUUUGUUUGAGAUGUGGAAAUACUUGCUGAAGUUUACUAGGGGAAGGGGCUGGGCUGUCCAUUGGUGGUCCUUACUUUCCAGAGAAGCUUAAGUCACUAUCUUGUUCUCAGAAUUUUCUAAAAAUACCUGGAGGCAGAAAAAUAAGUAAGUUUCCUAAUCCCACCUAAAAAGAAGUGACAGUUGUGGUACUUUUUCAAAAUUUUUUUUUUUUUUUUUAGGGCUGCACCUGUGGCAUGUGGAAGUUCCCAGGCUGAGGGCUGAAUUGGACCUGUACCUGCCGGCCUACAUCACUGUCAGGGCCAAUGCCAGAUCUGAGCUGCAUCAGUGACCUACACUGUAGCUUGCAGCAAAGCUGGAUCCUUAAACCACUUAGUAAGGCUUGGGACUGAACCUGUGUCCUCAUGGAUAAUAUAUUCUUAACCCACUGAGCCACAAUGGGAACUCCUUUGCUACCUUUUUUUACCCUUCUUGAAGACUAACCUUUAGACUUUGAAAUUUAUGAUCUUAGACUUGCCAAGAUUGAGUUAUCAGGGUUGGCUUUACUAAUAAACUCUUAGGCUUCUGAGAAAGUAUAACACUUAGGGAAAUAGUUUAAUAUUUUACCUAAGCUUGCACCCUUUGUAUUGUCAGGCAAAUGUUAAAAUGUGCUAGGAAAGUAUUUUUUUUUUUUUUUUCUUGGCUACCAGUUUUGUCUUGUGGGGUGGGGGGGACUAGUUUGCCUUUAGAAAAGGUGGAGGGAGAGUCUGUGUCUUUUGCAGCACAGGCUGCUGAAGGGGUCCCAAGACCGAGACUCUUAUUCCAUCCUUAUGUUGUCACAGGAUCAUUCCUCCCUCCACCUCACCCCCCAUCCCAAGAUGUCUGGUUUGGGCUUGACUCUGCUGGUGAGAAUUUUCUGAACAACUCCAUGAAUGUCUCUGACCCUGGCUCCUCCCUGUGGGUUGGGGGAGGGGCCCCAGGAGAGCGGAUUCCUGGCAGAUGUGGUGCAUGAACGCUUGAGCCUGUGUUGGAGAUGAAAUGGGAUGUCAGGCUCUGGGAGGUUCUCUGGAGGCAUCUCCUAAGGCAUGAAGAUUAUUUACAUAUUAAAAAAAAAAUUAAGACCAAACUUCUCUAAGUGCUGGCUUUUCUUCUUAACAGCCUUCGUAUGCACAUUCUUUUAGAUUCUGGUCUGGCUCUUUUUCUCUGGUGGCCACAAACUUUCUGGCCUAACUUCCUAAAUGGGGGAAGAAGGAUUUCCAGGGUAGAGCUUGCACUUAGAAGCCUGGGACUAGGAGGUGGGAAGGCUGGCUUGUGAACUCUGGCUGAGGUGGGCAACGUACUCCGUGAGGUGUAAAAGUUGUUCCAGCAAGAGGAGGUGGCGUUGAAACAUCCUUUUGGAUGGCGUUUGAAUAUUUUUUUCGUUGCUCCUACCCACUCCCUGUGUGGGUUUGUAUUCUUUAGCCCCAGCUGUUUGUGAUAUUUCACUGUCAAAUACAUAAUUAACAAUUUUGUAAGCCAAGUUUAGUGAUUUUUUUUUUUUUUUACAUUCAUGCACUGAACGUCUUUUCUGUCUUAAGCCAGUUACAUCUUUUUUAUUGAAUACUGUUCUCCCCCCGCCCCAUAACCUGUUUCCAGAAAAUUUGUCAUUCUAACAUCUUUCCAAAGAGUGAACUGUAUCAAAGGGGGCUUGAGAAACUGUAUCAAAGUGGAUUCAGGAAUACAGAUGUGGGUUGUGGUGUGGAAUUGCUUUGGAAUUUGAAACUGGUUCUGUAGACUGAGUUGAUGAUGGAUCCAGUCGUGAAUAAUUUUUUGAAACCGAUGAUGUCACUGGCAGUUUUAUGACUAGGAUUUUGGUAGACGAGCGUAAGUUGCUGGAAUAGGGUGAGAAAGCAAGUCACAGCUAAGGGCUGAGCCAGUAAAAUAAAACCAAGGAGUUAAAAAAAUAGGUUUGUUUACAUUUUUUAAAGAGUGGUAAUGGAUUCUCCCACAGUAUGAUAGUUUAUUCUGGUUUGUUCUUUUCUAGUUUUAGAAAAUUUAUGACUAGAAAUCAUCACAUAGGGUCAACAGAGAAUCAUAUCAUCUGAAUAGAAUUCAAAGUUCAUUUUGGAUAAGAUAGUCCCAAUAAACCAGCAUUAUACAGAGACUUAACGUGAUAGAGAUUCUUUACCUCAAGUCAAAAGUGUGCAGUCUUUUUCGUGGCCCAACAUUAGAGAAAGUCAGGGUUUGAGAUAAAAGUGUCAACUUCCAUUAUGAUUUAAAUUCAACGCUUAAAUUUGGGAAGAUCUCAU
This 5077-nucleotide long non-coding RNA is filed under the name Sus scrofa (pig). RNAcentral's name for it is "lncRNA (ENSSSCG00040001770.1)". Lineage: Eukaryota; Metazoa; Chordata; Mammalia; Artiodactyla; Suidae. The record is from RNAcentral.